Long non-coding RNA from Metopolophium dirhodum (rose-grain aphid), 719 nucleotides. RefSeq lists it as uncharacterized. The record is from RefSeq and is a predicted model, not a curated record. NCBI's taxonomy places the organism in Eukaryota, Metazoa, Arthropoda, Insecta, Hemiptera, Aphididae. The transcript has 3 exons.
CAUACGUGUUGGCAACCGUCCUGCUGUGGCGGCGAUGAUCUGUAUUAUAAUUUAUGCCAGCGUUGAGUUUAGGUCGUUCGUACAAACGUACACCUGCGUUCAGGGCGAAUGUAAGACCCCACAUGACACAUAAAUACAUAAUAAUAUGUAGGCAUAUGGCAGGUUCAAAAAUAUAUUCAUACAUAAUAACAAAACUUCGAUACUAGAACAAAUCCAGAAUCAGGGCUGACAAACUAAAUAUGUAGUUAUUGGUCUUUUUGUUACACCUAGUAUAUACACGUUACUAAGAAUUUAAAAAACGGGAAUUUUAUCGAUUUUCCUGGUAAGUUUCUCCUUGCGUACAUAAUAGACCUAUAACAAAAUCCAAUAACUCAUAGAUUUGUUUCAAAAAAGAAUAAUUGAGAAAUUUAGUCAUAUAGUUUUUACAACAUUUAGUAUUGUUUUUUGAAAGCGAUUAUUUAUCGUUGAUUUUUAAUUUAAUAUCACAACAUAAAUGUAUGCUGCAGCGUACCUCCUCCCCACCCCCCAACACCCAAUAAUGUUUUAUCUUAAACAUUUAUUAAACGUAAAUAUUAUACAGAGUUGAAACCAUGAAAAAUAAUAAAUCACUUAAAUCAUUACAUUUUGGCAUUGUGAGAUUUUAAUCUUAUAUCUAUACGGAUAUUAUAUUGCCUUCAUUAAUAACUGUCUUUGCGUGACCUUAGCUACACCUUUAUAUG